AGAAUCAACGCUGGCGGCGUGCCUAACACAUGCAAGUCGAACGAGAAAGUGGAGCAAUCCAUGAGUAAAGUGGCGACCGGGUGAGUAACACGUGACUAACCUACCUUCGAGUGGGGGAUAACCUCGGGAAACCGGGGCUAAUACCGCAUAACAUCUUUGAAGUGGAAAUUUCGGAGAUCAAAGGAGCAAUUCGCUGAAAGAGGGGGUCGCGGCUGAUUAGCUAGUUGGCGGGGUAACGCCCACCAAGGCUUAGAUCGGUA
This 260-nucleotide ribosomal RNA is filed under the name uncultured bacterium. RNAcentral describes it as "partial small subunit ribosomal RNA". It matches the Rfam family "Bacterial small subunit ribosomal RNA", at positions 26 to 285 of the family's 1533-position model. The record is from RNAcentral.